GCCUGGAUAGCUCAGUCGGUAGAGCACACCCAUGGUAAGGGUGAGGUCGGCGGUUCAAUCCCGCUUUCAGGCU
RNAcentral lists this transfer RNA (73 nucleotides) under Candidatus Altimarinota bacterium. RNAcentral describes it as "tRNA-Thr". It matches the Rfam family "tRNA". Rfam says of the family: Transfer RNA (tRNA) molecules are approximately 80 nucleotides in length. Lineage: Bacteria; Candidatus Altimarinota. The record is from RNAcentral.